UAGGGAAUCUUCGGCAAUGGACGGAAGCCUGACCGAGCAACGCCACGUGAGUGAAGAAGGUUUUCGGAUCGUAAAGCUCUGUUGUAAGAGAAGAACGAGUGUGAGAGUGGAAAGUUCACACUGUGACGGUAUCUUACCAGAAAGGGACGGCUAACUACGUGCCAGCAGCCGCGGUAAUACGUAGGUCCCGAGCGUUGUCCGGAUUUAUUGGGCGUAAAGCGAGCGCAGGCGGUUAGAUAAGUCUGAGGUUAAAGGCUGUGGCUUAACCAUAGUAGGCUUUGGAAACUGUUUAACUUGAGUGCAAGAGGGGAGAGUGGAAUUCCAUGUGUAGCGGUGAAAUGCGUAGAUAUAUGGAGGAACACCGGUGGCGAAAGCGGCUCUCUGGCUUGUAACUGACGCUGAGGCUCGAAAGCGUGGGGAGCAAACAGGAUUAGAUACCCUGGUAGUCCACGCUGUAAACGAUGAGUGCUAGGUGUUAGACCCUUUCCGGGGUUUAGUGCCGUAGCUAACGCAUUAAGCACUCCGCCUGGGGAGUACGACCGCAAGGUUG
Molecule: ribosomal RNA, 550 nt
Filed under: uncultured bacterium
Lineage: Bacteria
Description: bacterial SSU rRNA
Rfam family: Bacterial small subunit ribosomal RNA
Source: RNAcentral